This 255-nucleotide long non-coding RNA is filed under the name Durio zibethinus. Its description in RNAcentral is "long non-coding RNA (DZIB_LNC002420)". The record is from RNAcentral. Lineage: Eukaryota; Viridiplantae; Streptophyta; Magnoliopsida; Malvales; Malvaceae.
CAAAAAAAAAAAACACGUUAAGUUGGCUUCUUCAAUGGUAAUCUUUUCUCGCCCUUCUCUUUCAAAACAAUUAUACAAGAACCUAAGUUUUCUUAUCAGUUUAGCUCCAGAGAUUAAAGACUUUGCUUCCGAUUAAUAUGUGUCUAUUUCUGCGAUUUUUUUUUUAAUUUUUAAUUUUUAGUUCAAAUUGUAAUUCAAUUCUAAUAUAUAUUUAAUAUUCAAAUUUAAUCCAAAUCAAAUAAAAACAUAUAAUUC